This 305-nucleotide ribosomal RNA is filed under the name uncultured bacterium. Its description in RNAcentral is "bacterial SSU rRNA". It matches the Rfam family "Bacterial small subunit ribosomal RNA", at positions 337 to 640 of the family's 1533-position model. The record is from RNAcentral.
UCCUACGGGGCGCAGCAGUGAGGAAUAUUGGUCAAUGGGCGGGAGCCUGAACCAGCCAAGUCGCGUGAGGGAAGAAGGUACUGAGUAUUGUAAACCUCUUUUGCCAGGGGACAAAGGCGGCCACGGGUGGCCGUAAGAGGGUACCUGGAGAAAAAGCAUCGGCUAACUCCGUGCCAGCAGCCGCGGUAAUACGGAGGAUGCGAGCGUUAUCCGGAUUUAUUGGGUUUAAAGGGUGCGUAGGCGGACUGGAAAGUCAGCGGUAAAAUCGAGAGGCUCAACCUCUUUCCGCCGUUGAAACUGUCGGU